Molecule: ribosomal RNA, 447 nt
Filed under: uncultured bacterium
Lineage: Bacteria
Description: bacterial SSU rRNA
Rfam family: Bacterial small subunit ribosomal RNA
Source: RNAcentral
UCGGGAAUUUUGGGCAAUGGGCGAAAGCCUGACCCAGCAACGCCGCGUGAAGGAUGAAGUAUUUCGGUAUGUAAACUUCGAAAGAAUAGGAAGAAUAAAUGACGGUACUAUUUAUAAGGUCCGGCUAACUACGUGCCAGCAGCCGCGGUAAUACGUAGGGACCAAGCGUUAUCCGGAAUCAUUGGGUUUAAAGGGUCCGUAGGCGGUUAGAUAAGUCAGUGGUGAAAGCCCAUCGCUCAACGGUGGAACGGCCAUUGAUACUGUCUGACUUGAAUUAUUAGGAAGUAACUAGAAUAUGUAGUGUAGCGGCGAAAUGCUUAGAGAUUACAUGGAAUACCAAUUGCGAAGGCAGGUUACUACUAAUGGAUUGACGCUGAGACGCGAAAGCGUGGGGAGCAAACAGGAUUAGAUACCCAGGUAGUCCCUGAGCGGGCUGGCAAGGCGCAU